This 468-nucleotide ribosomal RNA is filed under the name uncultured bacterium. RNAcentral's name for it is "partial 16S ribosomal RNA". It matches the Rfam family "Bacterial small subunit ribosomal RNA", at positions 28 to 507 of the family's 1533-position model. The record is from RNAcentral.
GACGAACGCUGGCGGCGUGCUUAACACAUGCAAGUCGAACGGAAAGGCCCUGCUUUUGUGGGGUGCUCGAGUGGCGAACGGGUGAGUAACACGUGAGUAACCUGCCCUUGACUUUGGGAUAACUUCAGGAAACUGGGGCUAAUACCGGAUAGGAGCUCCUGCUGCAUGGUGGGGGUUGGAAAGUUUCGGCGGUUGGGGAUGGACUCGCGGCUUAUCAGCUUGUUGGUGGGGUAGUGGCUUACCAAGGCUUUGACGGGUAGCCGGCCUGAGAGGGUGACCGGCCACAUUAGGACUGAGAUACGGCCCAGACUCCUACGGGAGGCAACAGUGGGGAAUAUUGCACAAUGGGCGGACGCCUGAUGCGGCAACGCCGCGUGCGGGAUGACGGCCUUCGGGUUGUAAACCGCUUUCGCCUGUGACGAAGCGUGAGUGACGGUAAUGGGUGAAGAAGCACCGGCUAACUACGUG